Molecule: ribosomal RNA, 244 nt
Filed under: uncultured bacterium
Lineage: Bacteria
Description: partial 16S ribosomal RNA
Rfam family: Bacterial small subunit ribosomal RNA
Source: RNAcentral
CGGACGGGUGAGUAACACGUAGAUAACCUGCCCUACAUGGGGAAUAACCACUCGAAAGAGUGGCUAAUACCGCAUAAGUUCUCUUUCGUUAGAAGGAGAGGAAACCUUUUCCGUGACAGGAGAGGGGCUGAAGGAGGGGUCUGCGGCGGAUUAGCUAGUUGGUGGGGUAACGGCCUACCAAGGCGACGAUCCGUAGCUGGUCUGAGAGGACGGCCAGCCACACUGGGACUGAGACACGGCCCAG